CCUUAACCUGGUCUUGACAUAGUAAGAACUUUCCAGAGAUGGAUUGGUGCCUUCGGGAACUUACAUACAGGUGCUGCAUGGCUGUCGUCAGCUCGUGUCGUGAGAUGUUGGGUUAAGUCCCGCAACGAGCGCAACCCUUUUCCUUAUUUGCCAGCGGGUUAAGCCGGGAACUUUAAGGAUACUGCCAGUGACAAACUGGAGGAAGGCGGGGACGACGUCAAGUCAUCAUGGCCCUUACGACCAGGGCUACACACGUGCUACAAUGGUCGGUACAAAGGGUUGCUACCUCGCGAGAGGAUGCUAAUCUCAAAAAGCCGAUCGUAGUCCGGAUCGCAGUCUGCAACUCGACUGCGUGAAGUCGGAAUCGCUAGUAAUCGCGGAUCAGAAUGCCGCGGUGAAUACGUUCCCGGGCCUUGUACACACCGCCCGUCACACCAUGGGAGUUUGUUGCACCAGAAGUAGGUAGUCUAACCGUAAGGAGGACGCUUACCACGGUGUGGCAGAUGACUGGGGUGAAGUCGUAACAAGGUAAGCGUAGAUGA
This 542-nucleotide ribosomal RNA is filed under the name uncultured bacterium. RNAcentral describes it as "bacterial SSU rRNA". It matches the Rfam family "Bacterial small subunit ribosomal RNA", at positions 968 to 1509 of the family's 1533-position model. The record is from RNAcentral.